GUUCAGGGGCACUAAAGCUUACAAAAUACUAUUGCAAAAUGUCCGUGGCCAUUUUGAAAUUGUUUGAGAUGUAUUUCAAGUAUUUAAGAUGUAUUUCAAGUAGGAAGAAAUCAAGGCUAUGUAAUUAUUGAUUGUCUCUCCAGAUUCACUGCCCGAGACCAAGUCCAUCAACUUGCAAUGGAGAGGACAAAGUUAGUGCCCCAUGGCGUUUGCAUUCAAAAAGAGAACAAGGAGAUUUUUACUUCUAUCAAUAAAAGAGUCAGGAAUUUAAUGGUGCAUGCUACAUUCAUUAAUAGACAACCUUUGAUAGUAGUUGUGAGAUAUGCAAAAGAGAGAAAUACACGAAGAACUUUAUUUAUUCAUGGGAGUUGAGAAGAAAUUGGCCAGCAGCUGAAUAAAAGAAAAUGAAGUUCCAUUAAUACAAUCCAUCGAAAGACAACUCGGGUAAAUUGAUCAAUGCAGCACAAAUGAUUUCUAACCUUUCCCCUCUUUGGAGAAGAUAUUUGUUUUUUGUUGCUGUUGUUGUGAUUUUUUCCCCUCCCAAAGUAUGUAAACAGCAUACAUCACCAAUUUCAAGUGCUUUCUAGAUGGCUUUUCUAGCAAUAAUUGGAGAAUUUCUUGAACUAAGCAUGGUAAUGGCUUUUCUUCCAUCCCUCUCCUUCAUUGCCCCCUCAUUGCCUUGAAGAAUAUCAAUACACUGAGAAAGUUUGAGGGCUUUUCUUUUCCUCUUUUUUAAACUCUCACUCUUCUUCUUUCUCUACCUCCUCCUUCAAAGAUCUUUUGAAACAUUUGUCAAUUAAAAAACUGAUGCAGCUGUCACUGUGGUAUCUGUGUAUGUAGGAGAAACUUCAUAUUGACUGAAAUGCAGAAGGAUCCCAAAGGCCAGGAGAGGUUUCGUCCUCUGAUAAGUCUUUAACAGCCCUGCACCAGAGCCUGGCCCUUUGCCUCCAAUAGUAAAGGUCUCACUUGCAGUAGUGGCAGCCCUUUUAUUUGAACUUAUAUUAGCCAGAUGUCAUAAACAGAAGAGAGCAUUUGAGAUCUGAAGCUUCAGCUACAAAAGUGCAGCAUCCUUUGCCCAGAGAAAUUAUGCAGGCUGGAAGUCCCAACUUCUGCCUUUUAGGAAAAGUGAAUAUCCUCAGUUGCCAAAGUUGUGAAUGUGGAAGUUUAUAGUAAAAUAAAUCUAUAAACCUUGAAUAUCUGGGGACAUGCAAACAUUUCUUUUCUAACUCAAAAAGAUCUGUAAAAACAUUAAAGAAAACAACAACAAAAAAAAAAAAAAGAAAAACAAAAAAAAACCACCUUUGCACUUGGGAUUUGGCAUCUCCUCACACUAUAAGUGCAAAUAUAAAGCUAUUCUAAUUUUGCUUACUGAGGUAAAAUGCUGUGAUUUGCAUUGAAGCCACAAAGUAACAAUUAGAGUGUGACAGUUAAUGAAACAACAGAAACAAUGCAGCACCUUUUUGAAAAGGAUGUAACCCAUGGUUAUAUAGAAAGCUUUCUACAGUAAUGGUGGGUUUCAAUGAAUGAAAUGGGCCUUCACAUAUGCUGCAUAAUUGUCAAAACAUGAG
This is a long non-coding RNA of Cairina moschata (Muscovy duck), 1568 nucleotides long. The record is from Ensembl. Lineage: Eukaryota; Metazoa; Chordata; Aves; Anseriformes; Anatidae.